UAAUUCGGACUCAACGCCAUCUGGUAGC
RNAcentral lists this non-coding RNA (28 nucleotides) under Homo sapiens (human). Lineage: Eukaryota; Metazoa; Chordata; Mammalia; Primates; Hominidae. The record is from RNAcentral.